RNAcentral lists this ribosomal RNA (460 nucleotides) under uncultured bacterium. Its description in RNAcentral is "partial 16S ribosomal RNA". It matches the Rfam family "Bacterial small subunit ribosomal RNA", at positions 338 to 795 of the family's 1533-position model. The record is from RNAcentral.
CCUACGGGAGGCAGCAGUGAGGAAUAUUGGUCAAUGGGCGCGAGCCUGAACCAGCCAAGUCGCGUGAGGGAGGACGGCCCUACGGGUUGUAAACCUCUUUUGCCGGGGAGCAACGGGCGUCACGUGUGGCGCCACUGAGAGUACCCGGAGAAAAAGCAUCGGUUAACUCCGUGCCAGCAGCCGCGGUAAUACGGAGGAUGCGAGCGUUAUCCGGAUUUUUUGGGGUUAAGGGGUGCGUAGGCGGAUCGUUAAGUCAGGGGUAAAAUGGAGGGGCUCAACCCCUUCCCGCCAUUGAAACUGGCGCUUGUGAGUGGAAGAGAAGUAUGCGGAAUGCGUGGGGUAGCGGUGAAAUGCAUAGAUAUCACGCAGAACCCCGAUUGCGAAGGCAGCAUGCCGGCUUCCGACUGACGCUGAAGCACGAAAGCGUGGGGAUCGAACAGGAUUAGAUACCCUAGUAGUC